Molecule: ribosomal RNA, 486 nt
Filed under: uncultured bacterium
Lineage: Bacteria
Description: partial 16S ribosomal RNA
Rfam family: Bacterial small subunit ribosomal RNA
Source: RNAcentral
AUUGAACGCUGGCGGCAUGCCUUACACAUGCAAGUCGAACGGCAGCACGGGUGCUUGCACCUGGUGGCGAGUGGCGAACGGGUGAGUAAUACAUCGGAACAUGUCCUGUAGUGGGGGAUAGCCCGGCGAAAGCCGGAUUAAUACCGCAUACGAUCUACGGAUGAAAGCGGGGGACCUUCGGGCCUCGCGCUUUAGGGUUGGCCGAUGGCUGAUUAGCUAGUUGGUGGGGUAAAGGCCUACCAAGGCGACGAUCAGUAGCUGGUCUGAGAGGACGACCAGCCACACUGGGACUGAGACACGGCCCAGACUCCUACGGGAGGCAGCAGUGGGGAAUUUUGGACAAUGGGCGAAAGCCUGAUCCAGCAAUGCCGCGUGUGUGAAGAAGGCCUUCGGGUUGUAAAGCACUUUUGUCCGGAAAGAAAUACUUGGCCCUAAUACGGUCGGGGGAUGACGGUACCGGAAGAAUAAGCACCGGCUAACUACGUG